CCUACGGGUGGCUGCAGUGGGGAAUAUUGCACAAUGGGGGGAACCCUGAUGCAGCAACGCCGCGUGAGUGAAGAAGUCUUUCGGUAUGUAAAGCUCUAUCAGCAGGGAAGAAGAAAGACGCUACCUGACUAUGACGCCCCGGCUAACUACGUGCCAGCAGCCGCGGUAAGACGUAGGGGGCAAGGGUUAUCCGGAUUUACGGGGUGUAAAGGGAGCGUAGAGGGGUGGGCAAGUCAGUUGUGAAAGCGUGUGGCGCAACCGUGGAACUGCAAUGGAAACUGGAAGGGUGGAGUCCAGAUGAGGUAGGCGGAAUUCGUGGUGUAGCGGUGAAAGGAGGAGAUAUCACGAAGAACACCGAUUGAGAAGGCAGCCUACUAAAAUGCAACUGACAUGGAUGCUCGAAAGUGGGGGGAGCAAACAGGAUUAGAUACCCGUGUAGUC
RNAcentral lists this ribosomal RNA (441 nucleotides) under uncultured bacterium. RNAcentral's name for it is "partial 16S ribosomal RNA". It matches the Rfam family "Bacterial small subunit ribosomal RNA", at positions 338 to 795 of the family's 1533-position model. The record is from RNAcentral.